CUUAGUAGGUAAUUUUUGACAGUUGCAGGAGAGGAGUCAUGGAGGGUGGGGGAUAAAAACCUGCUAACAGUUUAAUUGAUAUGCUUUCUUGAAGAAGUGAGUUUUCAAUGACUUUUUGAAUGAGUGGAGACUGGGUGAAAUUCUUACGGAGGAGGGAAGGGAGUUCCACAGAAGAGGUGCAGCCCCGGAAAAGUCUUGGAGGCGAGCGUUAGAGGUGGGAGUACGGACAGAGAAUAUACGUAGGUCUUUGGCAGAGCGUAGGAGCCUCGACGGGACAUACUUGUGUAUUAGGGAGGAAAGGUAGGUUGGAGCCGCAUUAUGUAGGGAC
Pelobates cultripes (western spadefoot toad) is the source of this 328-nucleotide non-coding RNA. The record is from the annotation of a GenBank genome assembly. NCBI's taxonomy places the organism in Eukaryota, Metazoa, Chordata, Amphibia, Anura, Pelobatidae.